This 2776-nucleotide long non-coding RNA is filed under the name Equus caballus (horse). RNAcentral's name for it is "lncRNA (ENSECAG00000056875.1)". Lineage: Eukaryota; Metazoa; Chordata; Mammalia; Perissodactyla; Equidae. The record is from RNAcentral.
AUCACUUUUUCCCACAACCUAGGAGACAUACGGAGCUGACGCGGUGGAGCACGGGUCUCUGGCUGAGCCACGCUCUGGGUCCGCCCCCUUGCUUCCCCCGCCUCAACCCCGGCACUUGACACCUCUUCUGCCGUGUGGAGGCGAGGUGGAAGGUGAGCUGUGGCCUGGUCCGGUGGAACCUAGAGGCUGCUGAGAUCAGCUGUUGGUCCUCACCGGAACCAGCAGCAGCUCAGGAUUGUGUCUUGACCCUCCCUGAUGCAAAAACUGCCAGAGAGCAGGACUUCUGAGAUGGCAGGAUUAGCCUGAAGGUAAAAGGACCAGGGAACAGGCCACAGAGAGCUGCUGAAAUAUCAUUCAGGUGUCUCUCAAAGUCAAGAGCCACUCUAAUAGCUGUCUGCCACCAGCGAGGCCAGGCAAAGGUUAGGAGGAGUUUGCUUGGAGGCCUACCGCCCGCCCCUCUGAGGGAGGCACAGGCACCGAGGGGACAGUUGGUGGGGACCACACAGCCCAAUCCACUUCCUGAAGGGAUGUGGAGGCUGGAGCAGGAGCCCAGGGAGAAUCCAGACAUCAGCCUGGGUGGAAACAGAAGAGGGUACAGGCCUAGCCUGGUGAGGCCUGGACAAGAGGGGCGGAGAUCAUCAGAAAGAUGCAGGGUGUCACUGGGCGGGCAGUAGACCUCAGCGGUUCAGAGCUUGGAUUCUGGGGCCAGAGUCUGGGCUUGAUUCCCUGCUCCUCCCGCGAUGAGCUGGGUGACCAUGGGCAGGUUACUUCACCACUCAGGCCCCAAGUUCCUCAGUCACUGCAUCUGACACAUAGUGAGCACCAGUCUAGACACAGGGGAUGCAUCAGUGAACAGAACGGUUCCUCCUCUCUGGGGGCCUCACUUCCAGCAGAAACUUACCACAAACAAUACCCAUAAUAAAUAAGUGCGUUAUAAAGUACGUUAGACAGCCAGGCUUGCUCUGGACCAGAGGUAAAAGGAAGAUCAAGGCAUAGGAAUCAGGUUGCAGUAUUAAACAGGGGGCUGAGGCUAGGUGUCAUCAAGAAGAAAAGAUUUGAGCCAAGACCUCAAACGGCUGCGGGAGAGAGCCGAGCGGCGCUGGGGGAGAGCAUCGCAAGGCAAGAACACGUGCCUGGCAAGUUGACUGACCCAUGGAUGGUCUGUUGUGACAGAGCAGAGGGAGGGAGAGAGAGGAAGGGGCCAUGAGGCCCGAGAGGCCACAGGGGCAGAUCACACAGGGCCUCCUAGGCCACUGGAAAGACUUGGACUCAACUCUGAAACUAGAAACCACUGCAGAGUUCUGAGCAGAGCUGUGACCUAAUGUAACCUAUGGUUUAGGACAGACUGGGAGUGGGCGAUAGAAGCAGGAAGACCUGGUAGGAGGCGAGUGAGUGCACUCAUCCAGGGGAGAGAUGGCGUGCCUCGGCCCAGGCUGGUGGCAGAGGACGUGGUGAGAAGGGUCAGAUUCUGGAGACAUAUCGAAGAUAGAGCCAGAUCGGACAGUGAUUUGCAGUGACAGAGAGAAGAGGCGGGGAUGGCCGCAAGGAUUUUAGCUUAAGCAGCUGGAAGGGUGGAGUUGCCAUCAACUGAGAUGGAGCAGGUUAAAUUUGACAUGACUCUUAGACAUUCAGGUCGUAGCGGUACCUAGCUCAGGGGAACACUAUGAAGAUUAAACGAGGCCACCUGUGUAAGGAGCUUAGCCCCAAUGCCGGAUAUGUGGCAAGUCCAAAGUCAUCAUCAUCAACCAUCCUUGUCGUCAUCUGCAUCAUCAGCAUCCUGGGAAUGGGAUUGUCCAAGGGCUCAGGGGAAGUAAUUUUGAUUUGUGCUGGUCCCUUGGCACUAAGCAUCAUCUCCACCCCUAAAGGAGGAUGUGGCCCCAGCUGCUGACUGGAACUGGGACCCGUGCCAAGGUCAACCAGUGUCCCAACUUUGUGUGGCCCCAUCUCUAGUGAGGAGAUGAGCUGUGCACCCAAAGCCUAAUGCAAAUCCUGGUGCAUUUCCCACCAAAGUCACUGCCCUGUCACUCAGUGAUAAACCCUUCCACAGUCAACAUUUGGAGAUGUCACUGACAGUUUGGAAUCGGGAGCCAGGGGUCUGCUCAUCCGGACUCAUCCAGUCUGCAGACAGCUGGCCAAUGGAGGGCACCCGCCCUGCAUUUUGGAAUGGAAAGGGGAAGGUGCUUUUUCGUGAAGCAGCCACAGCACAGGGUUAAUGGAGCACAAAGUUGCUGGUGAGUCCGUACUGUGCGAGCCAAUGGAAUGAAAAAAGCUAAAUGUAAUUGCAGGGAUGGCCAGGCCAACAAUUCCAAACCCCAGGAGACCCGCAGAUCAGUAGAUAAAGGGCAGGCCCUGGGUCAGAGGGCCAGAGGCCAUCGAGGUCCAGAGGCCUGCCAAGGUAGGGCGCUCUUCCAGGACAGGAGUGCCCCUUAGCAUGCCCAGAGGCACUGUCCCUCUAGCUGAUGUCUCACUGAUGACCCAUGGGCUGUUUCCUCCCACAUGGACCCUGGAAAAGCAAAGAACCACAUGCGCCAACUCCCUGGGAGGCACCAAGAGAGGAUCAGCCACAGAGCCAUUUGUCAUGAGGACCCCAGCCUCCACUCCCACCUCCUGAGGGGGCUGGCCUCUGUGCUCACCACCAUUUGUGCCACUCACAGGAUCCUCUAUCAGAAAGUGGUGGCAUCUGUGUUCAAGGGUCACCAACCCCAAAACUGGCUUCCCACAAAUCUCUCAGCAGCCAUUUAAGCUCUGUGAUUUUCACUCACGCUUCAGAAGUCAG